Long non-coding RNA from Gopherus evgoodei (Goodes thornscrub tortoise), 114 nucleotides. RefSeq lists it as uncharacterized. The transcript has 3 exons. Lineage: Eukaryota; Metazoa; Chordata; Testudines; Testudinidae. The record is from RefSeq and is a predicted model, not a curated record.
UCCUGAUGACUACCAAUACCGCUGUGAAGUGCCAAAGACUGACUGCUUGGACCCAAGAUUCUCACUGCAAAAAGACCACUCCACAUUGGGAGAAUUCUUCUACUGCUGAUUAGC